UGUAAAUUCACGAAAGAGCACAUAGAGGAUGCCUUGAGAGAUUUAGCUGAUGAAGGACGUGGUAGCCUGCGAUAAGCGUCGGGGAGCUGGCAACAAGCUAUGAACCGACGAUUUCCGAAUGGGGAAACCCGCGUGAGUAAACCUCACGCACCCUGUACUUAAGUACAGUGGAAGGCACCCGGGGAACUGAAACAUCUAAGUACCCGGAGGAAAAGAAAGCAGUAGCGAUUCCCCCAGUAGCGGCGAGCGAAAAGGGAACAGCCUAAACUCGUUCGCUGAAUCUUGGGCGUAAGUAGGAAACAGGCGGCCCCUUAAAAUAUGUGGGUUGAGCCUUAGAAAAUUUGUUUCUGCUUGCGUCCGGGAUUCAGUGAGCGAGGGUUAUAGGGAAAUAACUCACUUUUAAUAGUGAGGUGCGUGAAGAGAUUAUAAGAAGGAUCUUGGAAAAGACCACCACAGAGGGUGAUAGUCCCGUAUUUUAAAAUUUCUUCAAGUACCGCGUUAUUUUUCCUGAGUACGACUGGACACGAGCAAUCCAGUCGGAAGGUCGGGUGAUCGUGCCCGAAGGCUAAAUACUAAAUCUCAUCGAUAGCGAACAAGUACCGUGAGGGAAAGGUGAAAAGUACCCAGAGUAUGGGAGUGAAAUAGUUCCUGAAACUAUGUGCUUACAAGGAGUCGGAGCAUCGCAAGAUGUGACGGCGUGCCUUUUGAAGAAUGAGCCAGCGAGUUACAUCUUUGUCCCAAGUGUAAGGGCCUUUGGUCCGGACGCGAAGCGAAAGCGAGUCUUAAUAGGGCGAUUUAGGGGCAGGGAGUAGACCCGAAACCGGGUGAUCUAGCCAUGAGCAGGGUGAACCCUCGAGAAAUCGAGUGGGGAGGCCCGAACCCACCAUAGUGGCAAAUAUGGGGGAUGACUUGUGGUUAGCGGUAAAAUUCCAAUCGAACCCGGAGAUAGCUGGUUCUCCUCGAAAUAUAUUUAGGUAUAGCCUGAUACUACAUGGUGUGGGGUAGAGCACUGAAAGGUGUUUGGGGACGCAAGUUCUCACCACCUAUCAAACUCCGAAUACGCACCGUUCGGGUAUCAGAGUCAGACUGUGCGGGCUAAGCUGCAUGGUCAAAAGGGAAAGAGCCCAGACCUACAACUAAGGUCCCUAAAUCCGAGCUCAGUGGAAAACGAAGUGGAAAGGCGUAGACAACCAGGAUGUUGGCUUAGAAGCAGCCAUCAUUUAAAGAAAGCGUAAUAGCUCACUGGUCGAUUCUACGUUCCAGGCAAUGUUGGUCCUAACGGACCGGCGGCGUCGGGAACCUCUAGGCCUUUUUGCGCGGAAAAUUCAACGGGGCUAAGCUCGGUACCGAAGUUUAGGAUUGUGCCGCAAGGCACAAUGGUAGAGGAGCGUUCGUAGUUGGGUGAAGCGGGAGCGUGAGCAACCGUGGACGGCUACGAAGUGAGAAUGCUGGCAUGAGUAACGAAAGGGAAGUGAGAACCUUCCCCGCCGCAAACCCGAGGUUUCCACAGCAACGACGAUCGUCUGUGGGUUAGUCGGUCCUAAGGGGUAAGACCUCGAUGGACACACGGUUAAUAUUCCGUGACUACCUUAUAACUACCUUGGCGCGACACGGACUGUAGGUUGAAAGAGCUGUUGGUUAUGCUCCGUAGGCUGAACGUCUGGCAAGAAAAGCGUCAAGAUCACUAUGUAAGGUAUCCGUACCGCAAACCGACACAGGUGGGUGAGUCGAGUAGACUCAGGUGGUCGAGUGAACCCUCUUUAAGGAACUCGGCAAAAAAGCAGGCGUAACUUAGGGAUAUGCCUCGCCAUCAGCAAUGGUGGCUGCAACAAAUGACUUUCAAGCGACUGUUUAACAAAAACUUAGGUCUCUGCUAACCCUCAUGGGGAUGUAUAGGGGCUGAUGCCUGCCCAGUGCUCGUAGGUUACGAGGAGAGUUGAUCCGGUGGAUUUAUCCAUUGAUGAGGCUUGAAUCUAAGCCCGAGUGAACGGCAGCGGUAACUAUAACCGUUCUAUGGUAGCGAAAUUCCUUGUCGGGUAAGUUCCGACCCGCACGAAUGGCAUAACGACUUGAAAACUGUCUCAAAGAGGGACUCGGUGAAAUUACACUACCGGUGAAGAUGCCGGUUACCUGCAGCAAGACGGAAAGACCCCGUGGAGCUUUACUACAGCUUGGCAUUGAUUCAGAACUUGUGUUGUGUAGCGUAGGUGGGAGAUCUUCGGAUCGACAAUGAAACACCACCCUUUGCUUGUUUUGAGUCUUACUGGAUGAAAAAUCUAAGACAGUGUCAGGUGGGUAGUUUGACUGGGGCGGUCGCCUCCUAAAGAGUAACGGAGGCGUGCAAAGGUUCGCUAGGUACGGAUGGAAAUCGUACCGAUAGGGCAAACCCAUAAGCGAGCUUAACUGCAAGGCCUACAAGCCGAGCAGGUGCGAAAGCAGGCGUUAGUGAUCCAGCCGGUUUCAGAACGAGACGGCCGGCGCUCAACGGAUAAAAGCUACCCCGGGGAUAACAGGCUGAUUGCGCCCAAUCGUCCACAGAGACGGCGCAGUUUGGCACCUUGAAACAUUGGGGUGCUACAAGAGUAAUCUUGUACCAACAAAAAUGUGGCUAAAAGUCUCAUUGCGACUCUACUUUUGUAGAGUGGGGAUGAGGCUUACAAUGCCGUUACACGGCAUUGUAUAACGGUGAAGCCCGACUCAUUGCGAGUGGUAAAUGAAUGCAGUGAAGGGUAAUACCGUGGGAAGUCGUCCGCCAGGAUGGCGGAUUGACCCUGUAUCGACUGAGUCGAAAGACGAGAUUGUGGUUUUUAAACGAACCAUAAUAAUACGCCACGUCCUAUGUUAAACAAAUGAAUAUGGCAGAUUCUGCCUAAGUUCUAAAUGCAAGAACAAGAUAUGUCGCUACCUUUGGUAGCUCGUAUCUUUUUCCUCUGCAGGCAUAGGAAAAAGAUAUAGUCAGUACCAUGCGUAAUCAUGGAGUAUUACACGAUGUCGGCUCAUCCUAUCCUGGGGCUGAAGAAGGUCCCAAGGGUUUGGCUGUUCGCCAAUUAAAAGGGUACGCGAGCUGGGUUCAGAACGUCGCGAGACAGUUCGGUCCUAAUCUGCUGUAGGCGUGGAAGAUUGAGAGGAGCGGCUCCUAGUAUGAGAAGACCGGAGCGGACGAACCUCUGGUGUAUCGGCUGUCCUGCCAAGGGCAAUGUCGAGUAGCUACGUUCGGAACUGAUAACCGCUGAAAGCAUCUAAGCGGGAAGCAGGCCUCAAGAUUAAUCUUCGUUGACACCCCGGGUAGACUACCCGGUUGAUAGGCGCUAGGUGUAAGUGCGGUAACGCAUUGAGCCAAGGCGUACUAAUAGGUGAAUUGAAUUUACACU
RNAcentral lists this ribosomal RNA (3371 nucleotides) under Candidatus Berkelbacteria bacterium. RNAcentral's name for it is "23S ribosomal RNA". It matches the Rfam family "Bacterial large subunit ribosomal RNA". Lineage: Bacteria; Candidatus Berkelbacteria. The record is from RNAcentral.